This 695-nucleotide long non-coding RNA is filed under the name Androctonus crassicauda. The record is from RNAcentral. Lineage: Eukaryota; Metazoa; Arthropoda; Arachnida; Scorpiones; Buthidae.
UUCAUUUGCAACAAGAAAUUCGUUGAUUCCAAUUAAUUUUAUAUCCAAUUAUUUCCUUAUCUGCGCUCAAACAAUUAUGGUUCAACAUUUCUCUGUGUUUAUCGGUUGUGUAUUUGCAACGGAAACAGCCGCUUGUCAGUCGUAUCGAGCCAGUGGCCACAUCACCCGAUAGAAACGACCCCGCUCUGCAACUGGGUGGUUAUGGUGGUGACCAGAACAAAAUCUAUGGACCAGAGUCACGACCGCCAGUCCCAACCGUGCUAAAUCGAAUGGCAUUGGUCAUUUUUAACGAACGGGUUCGAGUCGUUACUUCCCUAGUCUCGAGUUUAUCGUGUUGUUACGCGAUACCUGUUGAGGAGGUCACGUGGUACAGACGCGUAUGGCGAGAAGGAAAGGGUAGUCUCGAACUUCGACACGUAAAUUUUUGCGCGUGCUACCAUUUCACCAUACGUGUUAUCAACACACGUCUUCCAGAGUCGGCGAAAUCUCUACACGUCUGAAAUUUUCAGCUAUAAUGGCGGAUGAAUGCUUUACUCUUUCGGUUAUUGAAAGUUUAGAAAUUGAAGAACGACGUUCUCUAAGACGACAGCGUAUUUCGAAUCAGAGUGGAUGCUUUUGAUAUUCCCAAGGACCAUUUUUGUCGAUUGUUUAAGCUUUCGAAGACUGUAACGAAAGAUCUUAUAGAUGAUCUACCU